RNAcentral lists this ribosomal RNA (253 nucleotides) under uncultured bacterium. RNAcentral describes it as "partial 16S ribosomal RNA". It matches the Rfam family "Bacterial small subunit ribosomal RNA", at positions 524 to 776 of the family's 1533-position model. The record is from RNAcentral.
UACGUAGGGUGCAAGCGUUGUCCGGAAUUAUUGGGCGUAAAGAGCUCGUAGGCGGUUCGUCGCGUCGGCUGUAAAAUCCCGAGGCUCAACCUCGGGUCUGCAGUCGAUACGGGCGGACUGGAGUUCGGCAGGGGAGACUGGAAUUCCUGGUGUAGCGGUGAAAUGCGCAGAUAUCAGGAGGAACACCGGUGGCGAAGGCGGGUCUCUGGGCCGAUACUGACGCUGAGGAGCGAAAGCGUGGUGAGCGAACAGG